AACGAACGCUGGCGGCAUGCCUAACAUAUGCAAGUCGAACGAGACCUUCGGGUCUAGUGGCGCACGGGUGCGUAACGCGUGGGAACCUGCCCUUAGGUUCGGAAUAACUCCCCGAAGGGGUGCUAAUACCGGAUAAUGUCUUCGGACCAAAGAUUUAUCGCCUUUGGAUGGGCCCGCGUUGGAUUAGCUAGUUGGUAGGGUAAAAGCCUACCAAGGCGACGAUCCAUAGCUGGUCUGAGAGGAUGAUCAGCCACACUGGGACUGAGACACGGCCCAGACUCCUACGGGAGGCAGCAGUGGGGAAUAUUGGACAAUGGGCGAAAGCCUGAUCCAGCAAUGCCGCGUGAGUGAUGAAGGCCUUAGGGUUGUAAAGCUCUUUUACCCGGGAUGAUAAUGACAGUACCGGGAGAAUAAGCUCCGGCUAACUCCGUG
Molecule: ribosomal RNA, 432 nt
Filed under: uncultured bacterium
Lineage: Bacteria
Description: partial 16S ribosomal RNA
Rfam family: Bacterial small subunit ribosomal RNA
Source: RNAcentral